RNAcentral lists this unclassified non-coding RNA (213 nucleotides) under plant metagenome. Its description in RNAcentral is "partial contains small subunit ribosomal RNA, internal transcribed spacer 1, and 5.8S ribosomal RNA". The record is from RNAcentral.
UCUCCGUAGGUGAACCUGCGGAAGGAUCAUUCAUAAUAAGUGUUUUAUGGCACUUUUUUAAAUCCAUAUCCACCUUGUGUGCAAUGUCAGGGUUGAUUUUUCUCUCGAGAGGAUCAACCCCAAACAUCAACUAUAUCUCAACUCUUUGUCUGAAAAAUAUUAUGAAUAAAACAAUUCAAAAUACAACUUUCAACAACGGAUCUCUUGGCUCUG